RNAcentral lists this small RNA (80 nucleotides) under Vibrio chagasii. RNAcentral's name for it is "msr". It matches the Rfam family "Retron msr RNA". Rfam says of the family: Retron elements are found in a wide range of mainly Gram-negative bacteria. The retron encodes a reverse transcriptase that is responsible for the production of a small satellite DNA called msDNA (multi-copy single-stranded DNA). msDNA has both DNA (encoded by the retron msd gene) and RNA (encoded by the msr gene) components. The record is from RNAcentral. Lineage: Bacteria; Pseudomonadati; Pseudomonadota; Gammaproteobacteria; Vibrionales; Vibrionaceae.
GCUCUUUAGCGUAAUUUGGAUUAGAUUUCAUUAAUUUAAUCUAGUUUGGCGGUGCGCCAAACUCUAACUUAUUGAGUGAU